This is a non-coding RNA of Chelonoidis abingdonii (Abingdon island giant tortoise), 116 nucleotides long. NCBI's taxonomy places the organism in Eukaryota, Metazoa, Chordata, Testudines, Testudinidae. The record is from RefSeq and is a predicted model, not a curated record.
GGCGACUGGUAGCCAAGCCCCAAAAAUUGCAUGGUAGCUCUGCAUAGAGCCUGCAUGUUUUAGGAGCAAACUCCAGAUCUCCCGUUUCCUCUCUGGAUUUCUGCUGAGAGAAAAUG